GACUCACAAACUGCAAGAUCAUGACCUGAGCCAAAGUCAGAGGCUUAACCGACUGAGCCACCCAGGCGUCCCUCCUUUUUUCUUAAUUCCUUACAAAAGUAGAGUAUCUCCUGUGGAAUGUCUGCUCCAAAUCAUACUGUAUCUCUACAGAUUUCUGCUUGACUCACACUUUUUUCAAGAAGUUUAUUAUUUUUUAAAAAAGAUUUCAUAUCUUCUUUUUUUUAGUGUUUAUUUAUUUUUGAGAGAGAGAGAGCAAGCAGGGGAGGGACAGGGAGGGGUACAGAGGAUCCGAAGCAGGCUCAGCACUGAGAGCAGAGAGCCUGAUGUGGGCCUUGAACUCACCAACCAUGAGAUCAUGACCUGAGCCAAAGACAGACGCUUAAUGGACUGAGCCACCCAGGCACCACUCAGGAAGUUUUUUUGUGUGUUUGUUUAUUUUCAGAAAAUUGUCUACUGGUUGUACUUAUGCCUAUUACCCUGAUUUUCUAUUUCAGUCUUUCCUAUUUCUUAUCCUAUAAUUUCUACUUGCUCAACAAUUCAUUUUUUUUUCUCCCUGUCGUACCAUUUCUGUUGGAAAACUGUAUCUGUAAACGCAAAAUGCAGUCACAACAUAAAUUUGUGUCACCUCUGCUCUAGAUUGCAGUCUCAGACUCUGUGCCUUCCGUGUUUUUAUAUUCUACUAAUGCCUGUACAGAAUUCCAUAAAGAGGUUUGCCCACAAAAAUCCUAUAUGCCUAACCUAAGAAACUGGUCAUUACAAAGAAGAGGCAGGCCACACCUUUGGAACGCUGAGGUGUCAUUUCCAGCUUGCACAAGUUUGUUCACCAGAGCCAGAAGCCAACAUAACGGAAGAUUUUGACAAUUCCUCGGAAAAUAAUUCUGAAGCUAUAUAAAGGUUUGCUAGAGCAGAGGGCUGGCUGUUGCCCUCUCAUUUAUUAUCUGAACCUGGGACUCGCUGAAAGUGUGCCAAAAGAACAAAUAAAAGAAGCUUUGCUUUCCUGUUUACUGUUUAAUGUCCUGCUCCCCUUCCCUAUCUUUUCUCUUCUCCCUUCCUUUUCACUCGUCCUCUCCUUCCUACCUCUGCUCCUGUUACCCCCGCUUUCUUUUCGCUAAUUUCGAUAUGGCACUAAAUAAUUUUCUAAUUCCAAUCAUACUCUAGGGAUGAUAGAAAUAGAACCAUCAACUUUAAAAAUGCAAAGUGGAAAGGAUUACAAAAUAAGGCCAAAUUAUUAUACUGUUUGCCGUGACUACUACUUUCUUACUGUUAGAUUUCUUGAUUUAUUUCCUUAGAAACUUGAGAAACAUGGCAAGUAGCUCUACAGCUCUUAUUCUUACCUAAACUUUUAGAAGUGUAGACAAUCUUCUACAAUGCUACUGUGCUUUGUAAUAGAGAAACAAUACAGCCUGUUCAUGUCCGUAUGCUUUCAUGUUGAAUGUCUACUAUGUAUAGAAUAGCUUUAAGAACUUCCCAAUAUGGUAGUAUAAAAUUAGAGUAUUUAUUUUACUAUCGAGUAAAUUUAUAUAUUAGCUCUAGAAGAAAUUAGAGAAACCAUAUUGUUUAACUGCAUCUACAAUGUUUUUAAUUUAUAUAUUUUUUUAAUUUACAUCCAAAUUAGUUAGCAUAUAGUGCAACAAUGAUCUCAGGAGUAUAUUCCUUAAUGCCCCUUGCCCAUUUAGCCCAUCCCCCCCCACCCACUCCAGUAACCCUUUGUUUGUUCUCCAUAUUUAUGAGUCUCUUCUGUUUUGUCCCCCUCCCUGUUUUUGUGUUAUUUUUGUUUCCCUUCCUUUAUGUUCAUCUGUUUUGUCUCUUAAAGUCCUCAUAUGAGUGAAGUCAUAUGAUUUUUGCCUUUCUCUGACUGACUGAUUUCACUUAGCAUAAUACCCCCCAGUUCCAUCCAUGUAGUUGCAAAUGGUAAGAUUUCAUUCUUUUUGAUUGCCGAUUAAUACUCCAUUGUAUAUAUAUAUACCACAUCUCCUUUAUCCAUUCAUCCAUCGAUGGACAUUUGGGCUUUUUCCAUACUUUGGCUAUUGUUGAUAGUGCUGCUAUAAACACUGGGGUGCAUGUGUCCCUUAGAAACAGCACACCUAUAUCCCUUGGAUAAAUACCGAGUAGUGCAAUUGCUAGGUCGUAGGGCAGUUCUAUUUUUAGUUUUUUGAGGAACCUCCAUAUUGUUUUCCAGAGUGGCUGCACCAGCUUGCAUUCCCAUAACUGCAUCUGCAAUAUUACAAAGAAGAAAAACUUAAAUGCACAUAAAAGGCUUGCUGAAGGUAAGAAGUAGAAAGCAGUUACAUUCUCUCAUUAGAACUAUGAUAUUGUUGGGGAAUAUAAUUUAGGGCUUUUAAGGAAUAUUCCUUCUGUAUUCCCUAAGAGAUUCUUGUGAUUUCUUCCCUUGACUUUAGGAGCUUUAUUUCUUCACUUCACCCUUUUCUUUAAAAAAAAAAAAUUCCCCAAAAGAGGGGUGUCUGAGUGGCUCAGUUGGUUAAGUGUCUGAGUCAUGAUUUUGGCUCAGGGCAUAAUCUCAUGGUUCGUGAGAUAGAGCCUGGUGUCAGGCCCUGUUCUGACAGUGCGGAGCCUGCUUGGAAUUCUCUCCCUCCCUCUCUCUGCCACUCCUCAGGUCACACUCUCUUUCUUUCAAAAUAAAUAAACAUUAAAAAAAAAAUUUCUCCAAAAGAAAAGAAAACCCUUCCUGGCCUUGCAUGGCUUACUGGAGGAUAAGAGUUUGAGGUGACCUCAGGGGUGACUGGGGAAGGACAGAAAAGCUGGCAUGUUCCAGGAGAGAGAAUGAACUGCUGAGGAAAUCACUUUAGAGUGACAUGUCUUCUCAGUCCUCACCUCCCUUUUCUGUCAUCUUUUCCUUCCUGCCUGUGAUCUUACAGCCAUUUGGCAGCCUCUUGCAUGAGAAAGGGUUAAAGAAUGUAUUGCCAUUCCUAGAGAAUUUGCCAUUUUAAAAGGUGGCACCUUGGGGCACCUGGGUGGCUCAGUCAGUUAAGCAUUCGACUUCUCAGGUCAUGAUCUCACAGUUUGUAAGUUCCAGCCCCGCGUCGGACUCAGUGCUGACAGCUCGGAGCCUGGAGCCUGCUUCGGAUUCUGUGUCUCCCUCUCUCCCUGCCCCUCCCCCACUCACGCUCUUUCUUUCUCAAAAAUAAAAUUAAAAAUAAAAUUAAAUAAAAUAAAAAGUGGCACCUUACUAUUCCAUUCCAUCAGUGUUAUGUAAGAGCGGAAGACUGGUCAAAAAUAAGCACUUAAAUUGACAUCACUCUUUCAAAAUCCAAGAUAUUUCAUUGAAUGCAUGAUGCCUAGGAAAGAAUGUGGAGUCCCACACAAAAUACUUUUCUUUCUUUCUUUCUUUCUUUCUUUCUUUCUUUCUUCUUUCUUUCUUUCUUUCUUUCUUUCUUUCUUUCUUUCUUUCUUUCUUUCUUUUUCUUUCUUAUUUAGACAAUCUGUUAAUAAAGAGGUCCAGAGAACAAUUGUAGCUAGAUGCUAGAUUCUGACAGCAGAGGAAAUGAACAUGCCAGCAAAGCUGGGCCAGAAGGCCACAGGUGACAGAAUGAGUGCAUCCAAAAGACACCCCAAGCUAAAGGAAUUCUAUUUGCCCUGAUUGUGUGAUUGGCCUUGAUUUUGUCCUCCAGCUGGCAAAUUAUGUUAAACAACUAUUUAUACACAUUGGAAAAAUGCAGGACAGGGCACCGAUCUUUGAGAAAGAGAGCAAAAGAGGUGAGCCCUGAAAUUGUCUUUAUCUUUUUUGCCUUUCUGGAUUGUUCCACUGGAAGAGGCAUCCAAGCAGAGGCAGUGGUUUCACAGAUUCCACUGAGAAGACAGAUUCAGAAUUCAUACAGGUUGAGGGGCUUCAAUUCCUCUGGCAGAGCACUCAUGAAGAAGCAGAAGAAGAGCUGUCGAGUCUUGUACGCCAGUUCCUUUGAGUCUGCUGGGGAUCCUAAGCUGGGCAUAAAUAGGGCGAAACUCCAUGAGGCCAGGCAAAGAACUACCAGGGAGCUGAUAAAUUUCUACAACUCACAGGACUGAGAGGCUUUCAAAUUCCAAAUAACUCGAGUAGAAAGCCUUCAUUAAGGAGGACAAUAAAGAAGAGAGAAGACACAAAUUGCUAGUAUCAGGAAUAAAACAGAAGUUAUCACUCUAAAUCCUAUUAACAGGUGAAGAGCAUUAAGAGAAUAUGAACAACGUGAUGCUGAUAUAUUUGGUAACUUUAAGUGAAUGGACAAAUUCUUUGAACAAACUACCAUCAACCAAGAAAGGAAAUAAAGCUGAAAAAGAGCAAAGACUUCUAUUUGUGGUCUCAGAAUUACAAUUCAGGGAGCAUAAGUCCUAGCAGAAACCAGAAAAGUAUUCUGCCUGCGGGGUGAAAGCGAGGGAUUUUUAUGAGAAAAGAGGAAGGAGGGCAGUUAUAUGACUUGGAUAAAAAAGAAAAAAAAUUGCCAGUUGGUACUAAGAGGCUGAACUGCUUUUGGUUACACAUUGAUUGGCUCUUCUCUUGGUCAAUCAAAUGAAACUAUUCUGGUAUGCAUUAGUUAACUACUCUGUCUUCAGAACGUCCACAACCAACUGUCUUAUGAUCAGGAUGCCUGCUGUCCUGUAGACAAACGUCCUAUAGACAAAAGCUUAUAAAACAACUGCCUCUUUUGGCCCAGCCAAGGAUCUUUUUGCCCAGUUCGAGUUCAUUAGCCAUUUGCUUUAGAAAGGAAAGUGGAGCUUUUCUCAAAAUAGAGUCUCUCGUGUCCAGAAGUUUUACACAAUUCCACAUGACCAAACUGACACUAGAUGAAGUAGAAAAUCUGAAUAGCUGUGAAGCUACCUCAUCUUGAGAUGGCACUUUAGGCUUUCCAUUCUUCCUGGUUCAGGAUGUUACUUCUUUUUACUAUUAUUAUUAUUUUUUUUAAGUUUAUUUAUUUUGAGAGAGAGCAAACCUGAGAGGGGGAGGGGCAGAGAGAGGGAGAGAGAAAAUCAGAAGCAGAGCUCGAUGUGGGGCUCAAUCUCAUGAAUCGCGAGAUCAUGACCUGAGCUGAAAUCAAGAGUCUGCUGCUUGAUCGACUGAGCCACUCAGGUUCCCCCCUGGUUCAGGAUGUUUUGACUAAGGUAGCAGGGUGGCUUUCCUUAACAAAAGUCAAUGUAAAGACCAUAGCAAUUUAUGCAGAAAUAUAUAAAACAGAGUCUCUAGACAUGAAGACACCAAGGUAGAGAAUGUGGAGAGAUAAUAAUGCAAACAAAAUCCUCUCAGAAAUCCUUCAGUGAAGAGUCGAAAUGAUAAACAAAAGCUUGUGGGGGAGACUGAGGAAUAACAUUCAGAGAGAAUAAAACUAGGACAGUGUGGUAGCUUGGAGUCAAGCUAAUAGAGGAUACACUUGACGUUCAAGAGAUGUUUCAUUAAAUAAGGAUGGAGAAGAAUCUGGUGAAAAUGAGGUUCUGAGGACAAGUAAAGGGUUACUUUUGAAAAUAGAAGCAGGGUAUUUUUUUGUGACGACAUUGAAGUGGAUAGGAGGAAAUAAGGUAAAUUUUUCAGAUAAGAGAAGAAGGAAGUCGAUAAAAUUUACUGCUAAUAGCUUGAAUCUUUUCAGUGAAAUAGCCUCCGGGUUUGAGUGUGGGAUGUAGGAUUCCACUUGAAGAAUGUGGGAAUUAUUUAAGCUAGCUUCUAGGGUAAAUAGAAGAAAAAGGUUGCUUAUUAGUUCAAACCUAGUUGGGUUUACUCAGCAUGCCCUUUGAAUGAGUAUAAUCAGCAGUAGGGGGUAUGAGAAUAAUGGAAACCAUGGAAUUAACCAAAGAUAGGGGAUUUUCCUGGCCCAUGCAACAAAAUGUUAGUGGAACAAAGGAUUCUAAAUUGAUUUAUGGACAUCACUGAAACGACUUACCAUAAAGUCUAGGCUAGGACAAUAAAUAUGGCCCUGAAAUACAAAAGGGCACAUAAGAGCUUAGAGAGGAAGUUCUCUGAGAUGUAAUACCUUGUUUCUGUGAGGCAAGAUGUUCUGGUUUAUUUUCUUGCUGUCAUUUAAUGUAUACUCCAACCGUAUAAUCUUGUUCUUUUAACUAAGAAUUAGUAUUCUUUAGAAUAUUCUGUUGCCACACUAAAAUAUUUAGUCAUGCUUAAUAACUUUAAUAAAGGUAGCCAAUUAAAAUAAACAGCAUCCCUCACUCUCAGAUACUCCUUAUUGUAAAGGUAAAUUGUAAAGACACUUUAUCUUAAAGGCUGAGCUUGAUUUUUUCUUUAAUGUUCUUAGUGGACAGUUUGUAUAGAAAAGAUCAAUAUUUCUCCUUAAUGCAUCUAGGACUUACUGUGAUAGAUAUUAGAGAAACAUGUUAUAUGAUAAAAGGGUCUACCAGCUGUUCCAUCACUAUUCAGCUUUCUCUUUACCAAGAUUGAUGAUGUGGCUAUAGCCAUGUAAUGUUUUUUAUAUCCCCUAGCAAUCUGUGAAGUUGAAUCAUGUGACACUGCUAUUUUUAUAGGUCACAAUGGUUGUAUUCACAGUUUCAUAUGCUUCAACCUAAUCUUUCAAAUUUUAUUUCUCUGACUUUGAAAAUACUAGAAUUAGAGGUAGAGUCUGGAUAUUAGCGAGUGAAGAAUUACAGUUUGAAUAUGCCGCAAACCAUUUUCGGCAUUAAACUUUUAAUGAUAGUACAAUACUAGCGUUACUGACUUUAAAAGGAAGUAGCACAACUAAUUUCUUAUAAUUAUAAAUACAUGGUUUUGUAGACUAUAAAAAACCCUGAUUCUUGUAGUCAUGCUCAGUCAUAGGCUUCUCCUUGUCUUUUAUUUCUAAUAUGUUUUUUCCUCCUUAGGUUUCAUAUGCAAUCUUAUUUCACUUCAUUUCUUCCCUACCAACUUCAAUUUAAUACUUGAAGCACUGGGUCAGCUUGCAAACUUAAUGCAAAUGUGUCAUUUUAUUAUACAUCUAGAAGAAAAAAAUGGAGAGCCUCAGAGGUAGGCCCCCGUCUCUCAUUGCUUCCUCUGAACUCGACAUGACAAGGACUCUCUUCUGCCCAGGUUUGUGAAUUGACAGGAUGUGUAAACGAACGGUUAAGUCCCCUGGUCGAUAAGAGAAUAGGAUCGGACUUCAACCAGCACAGUUCUUGAAGUCAACAGUCCGGCAUGGCACGACCAAGCUCUCUUCUGAGAGUAUCACAGAAUUGACAUCAAGGUGUAUGCUGGGUUGGGUUGUCAUCUGGAGGUUCUGGGGAAAAAUCUGCCUUCUAAGUUCCUUCUAAGUUCAUUUUUGGUGUUGGCAUAAUUCAAUUCCUUGCGGUUAUAGGACUGAGGUCCCUGACUCUUGCCAGGUGUUGGUCAAGGACUUCUCCGUGUCUUCAGAAACUGCCUGCAUUUUUUGACACACAGUUCUUCUAUCUUCAAGUCAGAAAUAGAACAUUGGAAUCCUUGUGCUUCUUAAGUUGUUUUUUUUUUUUUUUUCCAUUUUGAGAGAGAAAGGCAGGGGCAAGGGGCAGUGACAGAGGGAGAGAGAAUCCUGAGGAGGCCCCUCAUUGUCAGCAGAGAACCCAAUGCGGGGCUCAAACCCAUGAACAGUGUGAUCAUGACCUGAGCCAGAAUCAAGAGUUGGACACUUAACUGACUGAGGCACUCAAGUGCCCCUCCUUUUUGUGCUUCUAAUCUUUGACUUAUUCCACUGACAACCUUUUUUUGCAUAUAUAAAAUUUAAUGGUGAAAGCUGAAAGCCCUAUCACACAUUCCAAAGCCCAGAGUAAGUCAUUUGAGAUUAUGUGUGGCUUCGAUUGCUCUAUUACUGUGGCGAUUUGCAGUUUAAGUGUCGCUAUUCCAAUGUAAUGAUGCUGAUGAAUAUACGAAAAACUCAUCUAAAUUGAUAUCUUCUAAAAAAAAUUGAUGAUAUAUGUUCUGAUGUUUGUGUAUAAACUUUUAGAUGAUUAAGAUCAAAUCCUUUGAAAAAUGAAUAUUUUCUUCCUUUUUAUCAUAUAACAUGUUUUCCAAUAUCUUUCACAGUAAGUCCUAGAUGCAUUACAGAAGAAAUAUUGUCCUUUUCUAUACAAACGAUCUCAUCUAUUUUGACUUUGUUCUUAUAACUAACUCAUGCUUUCAGGAAUCAUUUAUGCCAAUGAAGUCAAAGACCAUUUAAAUUUCUUUUGGCGUAUUUCCUAUCAAAUGUUGCCUUAUGAAUAUGCAAUUAUAUUUCCCUAUUUCUGUUGUUAAUUUUCUUACUUUUUUUUUUUAGGGCAAAAUUUUUUCAUGUUGAAUAAAAAUGCCAGGUUGAAUUCAGCUAGUUUUACUGAUAACCUUACGAGUGCUUAGUAACAUAUAUUAUCCCUUUCUAUAGUAAAGAUGUUAGUUGAAAACAUCAAUUUUAAAAUUAAUAAGGUUUACCAAUUUAAUAUUUUAUUUUAUUAUUUUAUUUUUAAGAGAGAGAGAGAGAGAGAGUGCAGGCAAGGGAGAGGGGAAGAAAGAGAGAGAGAGGGAGAAAAUCUUAAGCAGGCUCUGCACUCAGCAUGGAGCCCAAUGUAGGGCUCAAUCCCAUGACUUUGGGAUCAUGACCUGAACCAAAAUCAAGAGUCAAUCACCCAACCGACUGAGCCACCCAAGCACCUGAACGUCUUACAUUACUUGCUUCUGCAUAGAUAGACAAAAGAAGAAAAGAUGUUAAUUUCCCACUUUUAUUUCAGAAAAGGGAUGAGUGUCUAUGGGCACCUGGGUAGCUCGGUUGGUUAAGUUUCAGCUCAGGUCAUGGUCUCAUGGCUCAUGAGUUCGAGCCCUGCAUCAGGUUCUGCGUUGACAGUGCUGAGCCUACUUGAAAUUCUCUCUUUCUCCCUCUCUUUCUGCUCCUUCCCCGCUCAUGCUUGCUCUCUCUCAAACUAAAUAAAUAAACAAAAAAAAAAAUAGAAAAAGGAUAGGAUAAUGUCCCAUCAUUAGUUACCUUUACGAAUUUGAUUUGUACAACUGAUAUUUGUCACUUUGAUUUGCCAUGUAUAUAAUUCAAUCAUCUGGAUAUUGUGCAAGCAUCUCCAAAACCUGGCAAGAGAGCAUGACUUUCCAUUUCCAAUAUGUUAGCCAAGUCCCUGAAUUAGUUUUGUUUAGAGAGAUCUGUCUUUCUGAGACAACUCUGACUAAAAUGAAACACUUUCUGGUGAACAAUUUUCCAAGCUUUAAGGCAUCUGUGCACCCUGUUCGGUUCAUCACAAACAGUGACUCCAAGGAUUUGGCAUUAGGGUAAUGAUUCUAAAUCAUGUACUAAAACAUUUUUCCCCCCAAGCAGCCACAGAAAUGGCAGUAUCUCUGCAAAUGAACAUUUAGCUUUUCCCACCUGCCAAAUGUAUCAAUGUUUACCUCUUUGAAAAUGUAAGAAUGUGUAGGUUAAGUAAAUUUAAAAUAUUCUUUGUCUUGUAAUGUCAUUCACACGGCAUUACGGAGGGUACCCUCUUCCAGGUGAAAGAUGUUCUUGGGUUGUCUCUCACUAUUUUCAUGGCUACAUGAAAAAUCUCUCUCUGGUAUUUACUGGAUUUUCAUCCUCCUGUGCCACUACCUGGAUAUUUGUUUCGUGUCUCAGUCUGAGGGAUGUGGGAUGAGUGUAUGUGUGUGUUGGGGGGGGAGGGGCAGGUAAAAAUUCUAGAAGCAAUCUUGUUUUGUGAAUUGUAUGCAAUUAUCAAGUGUAUUAGGCUAAGUAUCUCUGAAAUGUAUGACAAGCUACAGUUUAAGUAGUAAAUUGAUUUUAUUCCACUAAUUUUCCUAUGGAGCAGUUAAAUGUCUAUUUCUCAAGUUUUAUAUCAUCAUGCCAUGGGAAAUUGUGCUUCCAUUUUCUGGUUGAAAACCAAGAAAUACUCCACUCCACUUAAUUAAGUCAGGUAAUAAUUGGAGAAGUGGGGAUGUCCACCCCCAAUAAGGAAUGGGGUGACCAAAAGCUGAGCAGAUAGAGAACUAAAAUGACUUUCCAGCUUUUCUGAGUCAGGUCUCUAUGGUCUACUGUUAUUACUUUGUCUGAAAUGCAAAUUCUCAGAAUACCAGACACACCCAUAUUUCAAUGAAAGUACAAAAACAAAAUUGAAAGCCAACCACAGUUGAGUUUUUCAUUGUCUGUCACGUUGAGUGGUCUUGUCCCUUCGCCCUUCCUUUCCAUCCCACCUAACCUGAAUAAUCAAAAGCUGUCUCUGUUUAAGGGGAAAAAAUGUAGGUACUAAAAGGUAAUUCACAAAAGGGGCUUUCUUAUGUAAAUAAAUACUCAGUUGACCAUAAGCCCCCUCUUCUUGCUGAUGGCUCUGAAUAUUACCAGAUAUUACUGAUGUGUUGUUUCUUGGUGGUACAGAUGACCUUUACUGGGGAAAGUAAUGCAGAGAAGGACUUUCAUAUCCAGCCUGUAUUGCUGUUGGGCCUGUUUUCUCUUCUCACACAAGAUUAAGGGGUAGGCUUACUUGAGAGUCUAUGUUCUGGCAAGCCUUGCUGCUGAACUUGGCAGGAGCAUUAAAAUAUCUUUAUUAGAAACCAUGAAUCAAGUUCCAUCACAGAACUCAUAACCUUCUAGAUCUGGCUGUCUUCUUUUGUCAAACCUCACAGAAAGGUGUGGUUUAAAAUAAAGUUUAUUUUAAGGUGCAAAGAUCCAAUGAUGAUGGUAAAUUUUCUUCUAUAGCAUAUACAGGAAGUCUUCAUUUAAAGUAAAACACAUCAACUUGUGAUUUAAAAAUAUGCCACAGAAUUUCCAAAUAGAAUCCAGAGAAUUUUGCCAGUGAAGAGCUGGGUUGUAAAGAAACUGGGAUGGACUUUGAAGAGCACCAGCAUUUUCUUUGAGCCUGAUGAAAAUCCAUUGGCUUUGGUUCUUUAAAGGUACAUGUUAGAAUAGUUAUAAUAGGAAAUUCUGUUAGUACUUUCUUAGAGCAAAG
Molecule: long non-coding RNA, 10836 nt
Filed under: Lynx pardinus (Iberian lynx)
Lineage: Eukaryota; Metazoa; Chordata; Mammalia; Carnivora; Felidae
Source: RNAcentral